AUGGACAAGUUCAAUGAGAUGACUGAUAUGGGUUUUCAGCCGGACACAACUGUUUAUCACUCCCUAAUUCAGGGUUUUUGUAUGCAUGGUGAUUUGGUUAAAGCUAAGGGGCUGGUUUCUGAAAUGAUGAACAAAGGUAUUCCUCGUCCUGACAUUGCGUUCUUCAAUUCAAUAAUAAACACUCUAUGCAAAGAAGGAGGAGUUAUGGAUGCACAAGAUGUCUUUGACUUGGUUACUGCCAUAGAUGAGAGGCCUAAUAUCAUUACAUUUAAUUCACUGAUUGAUGGAUAUUGCUUAGUUGGCGAGAUGGAUAAAGCAUUUGGAGUACUUGAUGCCAUGAAAUCAGUUGGUGCUGAGCCUGAUAUUGUUACAUACAACACGCUUGUUAAUGGCUAUUGUAGAAAUGGAAGGAUCGAUGAUGGUUUGACUCUGUUCAGGGAAAUGCCACAUAAGAGAAUAAAACCUGACACUGUUACAUAUGGCAUCAUACUAGAUGGGUUGUUUCAUGCUGCAAGAACUGUCGUUGCAAGGAAAAUGUUCCAUGAGAUGAUCGAAAGUGAAACGACAGUGGACAUUCCCGUAUACAAUAUAAUACUUAAAGGCCUUUGUAGAAAUAAUUGUGCAGACGAAGCGAUCGCCAUGUUCCAGAAAUUAGGUGCAAUGAAUGUGAAGUUUGAUAUUGGAACACUCAAUACCAUGAUUAAUUCAUUGUACAAGGUUGGAAGAAAAGAAGAAGCUAAGGAUUUGUUUGCUGCAAUAUCAGCCAGCAGGUUGGUGCCUAAUGCUUCUACUUACAGCAUAAUGAUAAUAAAUUAUCUGAAGGAAGGAUCAGUGGAAGAUGCUAAGCAUAUUUUUUUCAUCAAUGGACAAGAGUGGUAUAGCUCCCAGCUCUCGUCUUAUAAACUAUAUCAUCAGAAUGUUGUUUUUUUGAGAAAAUAUCAUCAGAAUGUUGUUGGAAAAAGG
Molecule: ribosomal RNA, 963 nt
Filed under: Triticum aestivum (bread wheat)
Lineage: Eukaryota; Viridiplantae; Streptophyta; Magnoliopsida; Poales; Poaceae
Description: partial small subunit ribosomal RNA
Source: RNAcentral